UACAGAGGUCUCAAGCGUUGUUCGGAUUCAUUGGGCGUAAAGGGUGCGUAGGCGGCGCGGUAAGUCGGGUGUGAAAUCUCGGGGCUUAACCCCGAAACUGCAUUCGAUACUGCCGUGCUUGAGGACUGGAGAGGAGACUGGAAUUUACGGUGUAGCGGUGAAAUGCGUAGAUAUCGUAAGGAAGACCAGUGGCGAAGGCGGGUCUCUGGACAGUUCCUGACGCUGAGGCACGAAGGUCAGGGGAGCAAACGGG
RNAcentral lists this ribosomal RNA (253 nucleotides) under uncultured bacterium. RNAcentral describes it as "partial 16S ribosomal RNA". It matches the Rfam family "Bacterial small subunit ribosomal RNA", at positions 524 to 776 of the family's 1533-position model. The record is from RNAcentral.